Molecule: ribosomal RNA, 256 nt
Filed under: uncultured bacterium
Lineage: Bacteria
Description: partial 16S ribosomal RNA
Rfam family: Bacterial small subunit ribosomal RNA
Source: RNAcentral
UAAUACAGAGGGUGCGAGCGUUAAUCGGAUUUACUGGGCGUAAAGGGCGCGUAGGCGGUUAAAUGAGUGUGAUGUGAAAGCCCAGGGCUUAACCUUGGAAGUGCAUCGCAAACGAUUUAACUGGAGUAUAUGAGAGGGUGGUGGAAUUUCCGGUGUAGCGGUGAAAUGCGUAGAGAUCGGAAGGAACGUCAAUGGCGAAGGCAGCCACCUGGCAUAAUACUGACGCUGAGGCGCGAAAGCGUGGGGAGCAAACAGG